UAGAGUUUGAUCCUGGCUCAGAUUGAACGCUGGCGGCAGGCUUAACACAUGCAAGUCGAGCGGGGGAGGUUGCUUCGGUAACUGACCUAGCGGCGGACGGGUGAGUAAUACUUAGGAAUCUGCCUAUUAAUGGGGGACAACAUCUCGAAAGGGAUGCUAAUACCGCAUACGCCCUACGGGGGAAAGCAGGGGAUCACUUGUGACCUUGCGUUAAUAGAUGAGCCUAAGUCGGAUUAGCUAGUUGGUGGGGUAAAGGCCUACCAAGGCGACGAUCUGUAGCGGGUCUGAGAGGAUGAUCCGCCACACUGGGACUGAGACACGGCCCAGACUCCUACGGGAGGCAGCAGUGGGGAAUAUUGGACAAUGGGGGGAACCCUGAUCCAGCCAUGCCGCGUGUGUGAAGAAGGCCUUAUGGUUGUAAAGCACUUUAAGCGAGGAGGAGGCUCUUUUGGUUAAUACCCAAGAUGAGUGGACGUUACUCGCAGAAUAAGCACCGGCUAACUCUGUGCCAGCAGCCGCGGUAAUA
This 526-nucleotide ribosomal RNA is filed under the name uncultured bacterium. Its description in RNAcentral is "bacterial SSU rRNA". It matches the Rfam family "Bacterial small subunit ribosomal RNA", at positions 1 to 525 of the family's 1533-position model. The record is from RNAcentral.